RNAcentral lists this ribosomal RNA (424 nucleotides) under Verrucomicrobiota bacterium. RNAcentral's name for it is "Verrucomicrobia bacterium partial 16S ribosomal RNA". It matches the Rfam family "Bacterial small subunit ribosomal RNA", at positions 355 to 776 of the family's 1533-position model. Lineage: Bacteria; Pseudomonadati; Verrucomicrobiota. The record is from RNAcentral.
UGAGGAAUAUUGGUCAAUGGGCGAGAGCCUGAACCAGCCAAGUAGCGUGCAGGAUGACGGCCCUAUGGGUUGUAAACUGCUUUUAUAUGGGAAUAAAGUGAGGGACGUGUCCCUUAUUGCAUGUACCAUACGAAUAAGGACCGGCUAAUUCCGUGCCAGCAGCCGCGGUAAUAAGGAAGGUCCAGGCGUUAUCCGGAUUUAUUGGGUUUAAAGGGAGCGUAGGCUGUUUGUUAAGCGUGUUGUGAAAUGUAGGAGCUCAACUUUUAGAUUGCAGCGCGAACUGGCAGACUUGAGUGCGCACAACGUAGGCGGAAUUCAUGGUGUAGCGGUGAAAUGCUUAGAUAUCAUGACGAACUCCGAUUGCGAAGGCAGCUUACGGGAGCGCAACUGACGCUAAAGCUCGAAGGUGCGGGUAUCGAACAGG